UACGAAGGGGGCAAGCGUUGUUCGGAAUUACUGGGCGUAAAGGGCGCGCAGGCGGCCGAUCAAGUCAGAUGUGAAAGCCCCGGGCUCAACCUGGGAAUAGCAUUUGGGACUGGUCGGCUAGAGUUCGGGAGAGGAGAGUGGAAUUCCCAGUGUAGAGGUGAAAUUCGUAGAUAUUAGGGAAGAACACCGGUGGCGAAGGCGGCCAUCUGGCUCGGUACUGACGCUCAGGUUCGAAAGCGUGGGGAGCAAACAGG
Molecule: ribosomal RNA, 254 nt
Filed under: uncultured bacterium
Lineage: Bacteria
Description: partial 16S ribosomal RNA
Rfam family: Bacterial small subunit ribosomal RNA
Source: RNAcentral